This 72-nucleotide transfer RNA is filed under the name Bacteroidales bacterium. Its description in RNAcentral is "tRNA-Glu". It matches the Rfam family "tRNA". Rfam says of the family: Transfer RNA (tRNA) molecules are approximately 80 nucleotides in length. Lineage: Bacteria; Pseudomonadati; Bacteroidota; Bacteroidia; Bacteroidales. The record is from RNAcentral. RNAcentral also lists the same sequence under 1 other name.
GACGGAUUCGUCUAACGGUUAGGACGGCAGCCUCUCACGCUGCAAAUAAGAGUUCGAUUCUCUUAUCCGUUG